CUCCUCCAGCCGUGCUGCCCCAUAACUUAGGCAUUGGAGGGACAGCUAGAUACAAACCAUAACAGCACACAAGCACCGACUCUCAGCUUCAGUGAUAAGCGUGGCGGUCAGCGCUGCCCUUCCCGGGCGCCUCACAGACCCUGUUCGCAGGCGGAGGCUUUGGCCUCCAGUCUGGAAAUGCAGCUCCCAGAAGAAGAGCAGAAUGGCUUCAGUGACAGUCUCCUCUCCUCUUCAUCUUUGAGACAAGAUUGAUAAAUGUCAACUCUCAUCGUUAGACAAAUGGGAAAGGAGCAUGAAUGAGCAGAAGAGUUGCUGUCCUGAUAAAGUGAAAAAGGAAGCGUACACAGAUGGAGAGAGUUAGAGUGGACUCAUUGUCCUAAAACGCUCACCCAUGUUCCAGGUCAGGACCCCAGCAGACAGAUGCUUUUCUAGUGCAGAUUUUUACAACCAGCUCAAUUUAGGAGAUGUGACAGUGACACAAAAAUUUAUCCUUCUGCCAUCAUCCGGAAGCUUGGGUUGCUUAAGACAGAAUAUUUGGUGACUUAUUGGUGUGACUUGACCAUUUCUUUUGAAGGAAUUUCAGGGAUAAUAAGACAUGCCUCCAAGAUUUUUAUGACACAGAUGUUUUUCAGUGUGAAGAAAGGAUUUUAAACCAAAUUGUGACGCAAGAAAGAAGAGCAUGAAGAACAUGGUGCAGAAGAGGAAUUCUCUAAAACAACACAGAGCCCAUAGGGAACCCUCCCAUGAAGACAUUUGGAAAGGUCAGGCUCAUAAAGAUGGUUGAGUAAAGGGCAUAAAUGGUAAUGGCUGAGCUCAAUGAAUACUUGUAAAGGAAAGACACCAUAUUCAUGGUCAGAACCAGAAACAUAAGCAAGAUGACCCAGAACAAUGUUUGGUUAAAGUAAUGGAACACAAACAGGUAAAAGAGAUAUGAGAACUUCUCUUUUUUAAAAAUUUUUUUGUAUUUGGCACAGCAUCUCACUAUGCAGCUCUG
Long non-coding RNA from Octodon degus (degu), 994 nucleotides. RefSeq lists it as uncharacterized. The record is from RefSeq and is a predicted model, not a curated record. The transcript has 4 exons. Lineage: Eukaryota; Metazoa; Chordata; Mammalia; Rodentia; Octodontidae.